AAAAAGUCUAAAAAAUAUAACAUUGGAUGAUGUUUUGUUUGGAGAUAUUUGGCUUUGCAGUGGUCAGAGCAAUAUGCAGUAUACACUGGACGAUUCGGAACAUGGAGAUAAAGCAAUCAAUGAAUCGAUAAACUAUCCCAACAUACGUGUAUUUACUUCUGGCCUUGAUUGCUCUAUGACUCCUCGGAGGGAGUUAAAUAGCAUUGUCUUGCCUUGGUCCGUUCCUUCACCAGAAACUUUAAAUGGGGC
Xenia sp. Carnegie-2017 is the source of this 249-nucleotide long non-coding RNA. RefSeq lists it as uncharacterized. The record is from RefSeq and is a predicted model, not a curated record. Lineage: Eukaryota; Metazoa; Cnidaria; Anthozoa; Malacalcyonacea; Xeniidae. The transcript has 3 exons.